CACAAAUUUACUAUAUAUAUACACACCCAACUAUCAAUUUACUUACCCUAUAUAUAUAUUCUCUAUAUAUAUAUCCUAUAUAUAUUAUAGAUAUAUAUAGUAGAUAUAUAGAGAUAUACAAAUAUAUAUACUUACUAUAUAUAUAGGGUAAGUAGAUAAAUAGAUAGGGUAAGUAGAUAGAUAAAUACACUUACUAUAUAUAUAUGUAUACACACACACA
RNAcentral lists this long non-coding RNA (220 nucleotides) under Homo sapiens (human). RNAcentral's name for it is "LNC_000556". The record is from RNAcentral. Lineage: Eukaryota; Metazoa; Chordata; Mammalia; Primates; Hominidae.